UGUAUUUACUAAAAGUAUGUAGAUAUUGUAUAAUUCCAUUCAUAUGACAUUUGAAAAAUGAUCAAACUAAAGAUCUGGAAAACAUGUCAAUGGUUACCAGACGUUAGAGGAAGAUCGAGGUGGUCAACUAUUAUGGGGAUGCAAUGGGAGAUUUUAAGUAAGAUAGAACUUUUCUACACGGGACUGGAGUGGUGAAUACAAGAUGUUACGCAUUUGUCAAAAUCUGUAGAUUUGUACAUUAUAGAGACUGAACUUUAAUAAAUGCAAAUGAAAAAAUGAACCAGGAUGUUGCGGAAUCUCAGGAGGGAAUGCAGACUCAGACAAAUGAACCAAACUGUAGUACGAUAUAUCACAAAUCUCACUGAAGAGGGAGAAAAAAAAGAUAAGUAACUUUGGAAAAGAGGUUUCCACUUGGUAAGGUUAAGACUAAAAGGAUCAAGCCCUGAGGAUGUGUCUCCCCAAAUUAAAAAUCCUGAUGCCUUGGAUCGCCUCAUGUGUACGUCACCCUGAAAUGUCUUCUUACCUCUAUCCAGUUUUCGUCUAUGUUCACACACCUCUGAAUCCUCCUGCUGUCCUUAGACAUACUACCUUCUCUUGGGUGGUCCCCAUGCAAGAACUGUUGGAUGUGGAACUGUAAA
RNAcentral lists this long non-coding RNA (638 nucleotides) under Equus caballus (horse). RNAcentral describes it as "lncRNA (ENSECAG00000055040.1)". The record is from RNAcentral. Lineage: Eukaryota; Metazoa; Chordata; Mammalia; Perissodactyla; Equidae.